GAUGAACGCUGGCGGCGUGCCUAAUACAUGCGAGUCGAGCGAACAGACGAGGAGCUUGCUCCUCUGACGUUAGCGGCGGACGGGUGAGUAACACGUGGAUAACCUACCUAUAAGACUGGGAUAACUUCGGGAAACCGGAGCUAAUACCGGAUAAUAUAUUGAACCGCAUGGUUCAAUAGUGAAAGACGGUUUUGCUGUCACUUAUAGAUGGAUCCGCGCCGCAUUAGCUAGUUGGUAAGGUAACGGCUUACCAAGGCGACGAUGCGUAGCCGACCUGAGAGGGUGAUCGGCCACACUGGAACUGAGACACGGUCCAGUCUCCUACGGGAGGCAGCAGUAGGGAAUCUUCCGCAAUGGGCGAAAGCCUGACGGAGCAACGCCGCGUGAGUGAUGAAGGUCUUCGGAUCGUAAAACUCUGUUAUUAGGGAAGAACAAAUGUGUAAGUAACUAUGCACGUCUUGACGGUACCUAAUCAGAAAGCCACGGCUAACUACGUG
RNAcentral lists this ribosomal RNA (497 nucleotides) under uncultured bacterium. RNAcentral's name for it is "partial 16S ribosomal RNA". It matches the Rfam family "Bacterial small subunit ribosomal RNA", at positions 28 to 507 of the family's 1533-position model. The record is from RNAcentral.